UACGGGGGGGGCAAGCGUUGUUCGGAAUUACUGGGCGUAAAGGGCUCGUAGGUGGCCAACUAAGUCAGACGUGAAAUCCCUCAGCUUAACUGGGGAACUGCGUCUGAUACUGGAUGGCUUGAGUUUGGGAGAGGGAUGCGGAAUUCCAGGUGUAGCGGUGAAAUGCGUAGAUAUCUGGAGGAACACCGGUGGCGAAGGCGGCGUUCUGGACUGCAACUGACACUGAAAAACGAAAGCCAGGGGAGCAAACGGG
This 253-nucleotide ribosomal RNA is filed under the name uncultured bacterium. RNAcentral describes it as "partial 16S ribosomal RNA". It matches the Rfam family "Bacterial small subunit ribosomal RNA", at positions 524 to 776 of the family's 1533-position model. The record is from RNAcentral.